UACGUAGGGGGCGAGCGUUAUCCGGAUUCACUGGGUGUAAAGGGAGCGUAGACGGCCAAGCAAGCCAGGGGUGAAAGCCCAGGGCCCAACCCCGGGACUGCCCUUGGAACUGCAUGGCUGGAGUGCGGGAGGGGCAGGCGGAAUUCCUGGUGUAGCGGUGAAAUGCGUAGAUAUCAGGAGGAACACCGGCGGCGAAGGCGGCCUGCUGGACCGCGACUGACGUUGAGGCUCGAAAGCGUGGGGAGCGAACAGG
This 253-nucleotide ribosomal RNA is filed under the name uncultured bacterium. RNAcentral's name for it is "partial 16S ribosomal RNA". It matches the Rfam family "Bacterial small subunit ribosomal RNA", at positions 524 to 776 of the family's 1533-position model. The record is from RNAcentral.